This 1358-nucleotide ribosomal RNA is filed under the name Escherichia coli. Its description in RNAcentral is "partial 23S ribosomal RNA". It matches the Rfam family "Bacterial large subunit ribosomal RNA", at positions 165 to 1567 of the family's 2925-position model. The record is from RNAcentral. Lineage: Bacteria; Pseudomonadati; Pseudomonadota; Gammaproteobacteria; Enterobacterales; Enterobacteriaceae.
CAUAGGUUAAUGAGGCGAACCGGGGGAACUGAAACAUCUAAGUACCCCGAGGAAAAGAAAUCAACCGAGAUUCCCCCAGUAGCGGCGAGCGAACGGGGAGGAGCCCAGAGCCUGAAUCAGUGUGUGUGUUAGUGGAAGCGUCUGGAAAGGCGCGCGAUACAGGGUGACAGCCCCGUACACAAAAAUGCACAUAUUGUGAGCUCGAUGAGUAGGGCGGGACACGUGGUAUCCUGUCUGAAUAUGGGGGGACCAUCCUCCAAGGCUAAAUACUCCUGACUGACCGAUAGUGAACCAGUACCGUGAGGGAAAGGCGAAAAGAACCCCGGCGAGGGGAGUGAAAAAGAACCUGAAACCGUGUACGUACAAGCAGUGGGAGCCUCUUAAUGGGGUGACUGCGUACCUUUUGUAUAAUGGGUCAGCGACUUAUAUUCUGUAGCAAGGUUAACCGAAUAGGGGAGCCGAAGGGAAACCGAGUCUUAACUGGGCGUUAAGUUGCAGGGUAUAGACCCGAAACCCGGUGAUCUAGCCAUGGGCAGGUUGAAGGUUGGGUAACACUAACUGGAGGACCGAACCGACUAAUGUUGAAAAAUUAGCGGAUGACUUGUGGCUGGGGGUGAAAGGCCAAUCAAACCGGGAGAUAGCUGGUUCUCCCCGAAAGCUAUUUAGGUAGCGCCUCGUGAAUUCAUCUCCGGGGGUAGAGCACUGUUUCGGCAAGGGGGUCAUCCCGACUUACCAACCCGAUGCAAACUGCGAAUACCGGAGAAUGUUAUCACGGGAGACACACGGCGGGUGCUAACGUCCGUCGUGAAGAGGGAAACAACCCAGACCGCCAGCUAAGGUCCCAAAGUCAUGGUUAAGUGGGAAACGAUGUGGGAAGGCCCAGACAGCCAGGAUGUUGGCUUAGAAGCAGCCAUCAUUUAAAGAAAGCGUAAUAGCUCACUGGUCGAGUCGGCCUGCGCGGAAGAUGUAACGGGGCUAAACCAUGCACCGAAGCUGCGGCAGCGACACUAUGUGUUGUUGGGUAGGGGAGCGUUCUGUAAGCCUGUGAAGGUGGCCUGUGAGGGUUGCUGGAGGUAUCAGAAGUGCGAAUGCUGACAUAAGUAACGAUAAAGCGGGUGAAAAGCCCGCUCGCCGGAAGACCAAGGGUUCCUGUCCAACGUUAAUCGGGGCAGGGUGAGUCGACCCCUAAGGCGAGGCCGAAAGGCGUAGUCGAUGGGAAACAGGUUAAUAUUCCUGUACUUGGUGUUACUGCGAAGGGGGGACGGAGAAGGCUAUGUUGGCCGGGCGACGGUUGUCCCGGUUUAAGCGUGUAGGCUGGUUUUCCAGGCAAAUCCGGAAAAUCAAGGCUGAGGCGUGAU